This 427-nucleotide ribosomal RNA is filed under the name uncultured Leptothrix sp. Its description in RNAcentral is "bacterial SSU rRNA". It matches the Rfam family "Bacterial small subunit ribosomal RNA", at positions 353 to 772 of the family's 1533-position model. The record is from RNAcentral. Lineage: Bacteria; Pseudomonadati; Pseudomonadota; Betaproteobacteria; Burkholderiales; Sphaerotilaceae.
AGUGGGGAAUUUUGGACAAUGGGGGCAACCCUGAUCCAGCCAUGCCGCGUGCGGGAAGAAGGCCUUCGGGUUGUAAACCGCUUUUGUCAGGGAAGAAACGCUCUGAGCUAAUACCUCGGGGUAAUGACGGUACCUGAAGAAUAAGCACCGGCUAACUACGUGCCAGCAGCCGCGGUAAUACGUAGGGUGCAAGCGUUAAUCGGAAUUACUGGGCGUAAAGCGUGCGCAGGCGGUCUUGCAAGACAGAUGUGAAAUCCCCGGGCUCAACCUGGGAACUGCAUUUGUGACUGCACGGCUAGAGUGCGGCAGAGGGGGAUGGAAUUCCGCGUGUAGCAGUGAAAUGCGUAGAUAUGCGGAGGAACACCGAUGGCGAAGGCAAUCCCCUGGGCCUGCACUGACGCUCAUGCACGAAAGCGUGGGGAGCAAA